GCUGUAUCCUCUUAGUGAGGAGGAGUCAAUGCAAACUGGGAAGUCUUCCUCCUCUACAUAUCUGUCAGUACAGAGGAUGACAGAGAACCGUGGACACACAGUUUAACAUGAUGGACCACAGGACAGCACUGCUGCUUCUAACCGUCUGCUGGGCAGGUGCAGAUGGUCAGACUCUGACAGAAUCUGAGCCCGUGGUUAAAAGGCCUGGAGAAUCCCACAGACUGACCUGUACAGCCUCCGGAUUCACUUUUAGCAGCUACUAUAUGAGCUGGAUCAGACAGGCUCCUGGAAAAGGACUGGAGUGGAUCGCUUUAGUAGCAACAGGCAGUUCCAGCUUAUAUUACUCCCAGUCAGUCAAGGGUAGAUUCACCAUCUCCAGAGAUGACUCCAGCAGCAAAGUGUAUCUGCAGAUGAACAGUUUGAAGACAGAGGACACAGCAGUGUAUUACUGUGCCAGAGACACAGUUAGACAGAGAAAUGGGAGACUCAAACAAAAACUACUUCCUCUAUUUACCACCACCACUGGAAACAUUCAGUUUCCUCAGUAUCACUUUUCUUGAAAUAUUGGUUGUCAUCAAUUUCUCUAUUAUUAUUAUUAUUUUUAUUCAUUCUUCAUCGUUGUGCAAAAAUGUAACUACAUGUCUACAGAAAUGUGAACAUUUACAUCUUGUUCAUUUUGUUUUCUUCAUAUUUUUUUGCAAUUCGGGUACUAUUUUACAUUUGUUAAUGGUAUUUAUUGUAUAGAUUGUAAGGUGUGUGGUGUGAUACCUGCUGCUGUAACACCGGAAUUUCCCAGCUUGGCAUCAAUAAAGUACCUAUCUAUCUGUCUAUCUA
This is a non-coding RNA of Scophthalmus maximus (turbot), 834 nucleotides long. The record is from the annotation of a RefSeq genome assembly. Lineage: Eukaryota; Metazoa; Chordata; Actinopteri; Pleuronectiformes; Scophthalmidae.